UACGGAGGGUGCAAGCGUUAUCCGGAUUCACUGGGUUUAAAGGGUGCGUAGGCGGUGAGAUAAGUCAGUCGUGAAAUCUCUUGGCUUAACCAAUGAAAUUGCGAUUGAUACUGUUUUACUUGAAAGAGGUUGAGGUCAGCGGAAUGUGGCAUGUAGCGGUGAAAUGCAUAGAUAUGCCAUAGAACACCGAUUGCGAAGGCAGCUGGCUGGGCCUACUUUGACGCUGAGGCACGAAAGCGUGGGGAGCAAACAGG
RNAcentral lists this ribosomal RNA (254 nucleotides) under uncultured bacterium. RNAcentral's name for it is "partial 16S ribosomal RNA". It matches the Rfam family "Bacterial small subunit ribosomal RNA", at positions 524 to 776 of the family's 1533-position model. The record is from RNAcentral.